Molecule: non-coding RNA, 45 nt
Filed under: Schistosoma curassoni
Lineage: Eukaryota; Metazoa; Platyhelminthes; Trematoda; Strigeidida; Schistosomatidae
Source: RNAcentral
ACCCACCUGAUGAGUCCUAGAUAAGACGAAACGCACGUUCUGGAU